UACAGAGGGUGCAAGCGUUAAUCGGAUUUACUGGGCGUAAAGCGUGCGUAGGUGGCCAAUUAAGUCAAAUGUGAAAUCCCCGAGCUUACCUUGGGAAUUGCAUUCGAUACUGGUUGGCUAGAGUAUGGGAGAGGAUGGUAGAAUUCCAGGUGUAGCGGUGAAAUGCGUAGAGAUCUGGAGGAAUACCGAUGGCGAAGGCAGCCAUCUGGCCUAAUACUGACACUGAGGUACGAAAGCAUGGGGAGCAAACAGG
RNAcentral lists this ribosomal RNA (253 nucleotides) under uncultured bacterium. RNAcentral describes it as "partial 16S ribosomal RNA". It matches the Rfam family "Bacterial small subunit ribosomal RNA", at positions 524 to 776 of the family's 1533-position model. The record is from RNAcentral.